RNAcentral lists this ribosomal RNA (468 nucleotides) under uncultured bacterium. RNAcentral describes it as "partial 16S ribosomal RNA". It matches the Rfam family "Bacterial small subunit ribosomal RNA", at positions 28 to 523 of the family's 1533-position model. The record is from RNAcentral.
GAUGAACGCUGGCGGCGUGCCUAACACAUGCAAGUCGAGCGAUCUUCUUCGGAAGAGAGCGGCGGACGGGUGAGUAACGCGUGGGUAACCUGCCCUGUACACACGGAUAACAUACCGAAAGGUAUGCUAAUACGAGAUAAUAUACUUUUAUCGCAUGGUAGAAGUAUCAAAGCUUUUGCGGUACAGGAUGGACCCGCGUCUGAUUAGCUAGUUGGUAAGGUAACGGCUUACCAAGGCGACGAUAAGUAGCCGACCUGAGAGGGUGAUCGGCCACAUUGGAACUGAGACACGGUCCAAACUCCUACGGGAGGCAGCAGUGGGGAAUAUUGCACAAUGGGCGAAAGCCUGAUGCAGCAACGCCGCGUGAGCGAUGAAGGCCUUCGGGUCGUAAAGCUCUGUCCUCAAGGAAGAUAAUGACGGUACUUGCGGAGGAAGCCCCGGCUAACUACGUGCCAGCAGCCGCCGUAA